Molecule: small nucleolar RNA, 73 nt
Filed under: Dasypus novemcinctus (nine-banded armadillo)
Lineage: Eukaryota; Metazoa; Chordata; Mammalia; Cingulata; Dasypodidae
Description: U8 small nucleolar RNA (ENSDNOG00000026957.1)
Rfam family: U8 small nucleolar RNA
About the family: U8 is a member of the C/D class of snoRNA which contain the C (UGAUGA) and D (CUGA) box motifs.
Source: RNAcentral
AAUGUGAUGACUGGUGUUCGCAUUAUAUGUGAUUAAUAUUCUGCGUAAUCAGGACUUGCAACACCCUGAUUGG